GGGUUGUGAGGUUAAGCGACUAAGCGUACACGGUGGAUGCCCUGGCAGUCAGAGGCGAUGAAGGACGUGCUAAUCUGCGAUAAGCGUCGGUAAGGUGAUAUGAACCGUUAUAACCGGCGAUUUCCGAAUGGGGAAACCCAGUGUGUUUCGACACACUAUCAUUAACUGAAUCCAUAGGUUAAUGAGGCGAACCGGGGGAACUGAAACAUCUAAGUACCCCGAGGAAAAGAAAUCAACCGAGAUUCCCCCAGUAGCGGCGAGCGAACGGGGAGCAGCCCAGAGCCUGAAUCAGUGUGUGUGUUAGUGGAAGCGUCUGGAAAGGCGCGCGAUACAGGGUGACAGCCCCGUACACAAAAAUGCACAUGCUGUGAGCUCGAUGAGUAGGGCGGGACACGUGGUAUCCUGUCUGAAUAUGGGGGGACCAUCCUCCAAGGCUAAAUACUCCUGACUGACCGAUAGUGAACCAGUACCGUGAGGGAAAGGCGAAAAGAACCCCGGCGAGGGGAGUGAAAAAGAACCUGAAACCGUGUACGUACAAGCAGUGGGAGCCUCUUUAUGGGGUGACUGCGUACCUUUUGUAUAAUGGGUCAGCGACUUAUAUUCUGUAGCAAGGUUAACCGAAUAGGGGAGCCGAAGGGAAACCGAGUCUUAACUGGGCGUUAAGUUGCAGGGUAUAGACCCGAAACCCGGUGAUCUAGCCAUGGGCAGGUUGAAGGUUGGGUAACACUAACUGGAGGACCGAACCGACUAAUGUUGAAAAAUUAGCGGAUGACUUGUGGCUGGGGGUGAAAGGCCAAUCAAACCGGGAGAUAGCUGGUUCUCCCCGAAAGCUAUUUAGGUAGCGCCUCGUGAAUUCAUCUCCGGGGGUAGAGCACUGUUUCGGCAAGGGGGUCAUCCCGACUUACCAACCCGAUGCAAACUGCGAAUACCGGAGAAUGUUAUCACGGGAGACACACGGCGGGUGCUAACGUCCGUCGUGAAGAGGGAAACAACCCAGACCGCCAGCUAAGGUCCCAAAGUCAUGGUUAAGUGGGAAACGAUGUGGGAAGGCCCAGACAGCCAGGAUGUUGGCUUAGAAGCAGCCAUCAUUUAAAGAAAGCGUAAUAGCUCACUGGUCGAGUCGGCCUGCGCGGAAGAUGUAACGGGGCUAAACCAUGCACCGAAGCUGCGGCAGCGACGCUUAUGCGUUGUUGGGUAGGGGAGCGUUCUGUAAGCCUGUGAAGGUGUGCUGUGAGGCAUGCUGGAGGUAUCAGAAGUGCGAAUGCUGACAUAAGUAACGAUAAAGCGGGUGAAAAGCCCGCUCGCCGGAAGACCAAGGGUUCCUGUCCAACGUUAAUCGGGGCAGGGUGAGUCGACCCCUAAGGCGAGGCCGAAAGGCGUAGUCGAUGGGAAACAGGUUAAUAUUCCUGUACUUGGUGUUACUGCGAAGGGGGGACGGAGAAGGCUAUGUUGGCCGGGCGACGGUUG
Molecule: ribosomal RNA, 1467 nt
Filed under: Escherichia coli
Lineage: Bacteria; Pseudomonadati; Pseudomonadota; Gammaproteobacteria; Enterobacterales; Enterobacteriaceae
Description: partial 23S ribosomal RNA
Rfam family: Bacterial large subunit ribosomal RNA
Source: RNAcentral